Non-coding RNA from Rattus norvegicus (Norway rat), 2732 nucleotides. The record is from RefSeq and is a predicted model, not a curated record. NCBI's taxonomy places the organism in Eukaryota, Metazoa, Chordata, Mammalia, Rodentia, Muridae.
AGUCACCUAAGAAACCACCUCCAGUAGACGGACACAGCCCCCAGUUGAGGGAAUGCAGAAAAACACAAGUGACAUGAGUCCUUCACUGCCUCAGGGAGUGCCUUAGAUUCUCAGGAGCUGAAAGGCAUACAGUGCACAGGAGCCAUGGACUCUAACCUAAAAUGCCUAUGAUAUGUGCCUCUCAAGGCAGCGAGACCAGGCCAACUCCAUGAUUACCCACUAAAAUCAAUCAUCAGAAAAAUUGAUAAUAGGUAAGUGAUGCAUAAAUUUAUAAAAAACAAAACAGAUGAUAGUUCGAUAGAUAAAUGGAUAGACAAGUAGUUAAAUAAAUGACAAUUGAUAAAUUAUAGAUAAUAACUUAUGAAAAGUAAAGUUUAACACCAUAUCUCUACCUGCCUACUGCUACCACUAUCUAAAUAAUAAGUCAGUAAUGAAAUUAUCAGAAUUUAUUUUGCCCACGGUUAUUGUAGUGGCUAUUCCUGGUUAUCAACUUGAUGAUAUCUGGAAUGAAUUAUAAUCCAGAAUUGGAAGGCUCACCUGUGAUCCUGACAUUAGGCUGGGAGAUACAAGUUUCUGGCCUGGAUCUUGGUAUGGACAUCUUGAGGCAUAGUGGUUAUAAACCCCAGGAGACUAAGGCAAGGAGAUCUCUAAGUUCAAAGUCAUCUGGACAAAGCAAGUUCCAGAUCCAGGUGUAGUGGUACACUUCUUUAGUUUGGGACACACCUUCUGCUGGAGACCUACAUAAGGACAUUGGAAGAAAAAGACUCUUUUUUGCCUGCCUGCCUUGUGGGACUGAGCUACUGCUAGAUUCUUGGACUUCCAUUCACAGGGGCUCCUCACCAUUGUUGGGGAGUUGGACUACAGACUGUAAGUCACCAACAAAUUCUCUUAUUAUAUAGAGAUUACCCAUAAGUUCUGUGACUCUAGAGAACCGUGACUAAUAUAGUUACUUUUUCUGAAAAAAAAAUCUCUGUAUCUGAUUGAAAAACAGUAUGAAAGAUUACAAAAGUAACUAUGUGUAGGUCUUUACCAAUGAAGACAAUGUAAAUAUUCUAAAAGAAGAAAGUUUUAAAAAUAUGUUUGCUAUAUACCAGUUAGAUGAAAAAAUCUCUUCUUUGUUUAUCUAUAAAUUCUAGAUUUGUUUGGUUCUCACAAGAUAUUUUUAGUACCAGCACUGCAAGGAGAAGUGUAUCCUUGAGACAAUAAAGUCUGAGUGAGUUCUGAAUGUGACAUACAGAAUGCUAGCAAAGCCUAUGAUUUUCCAUAACAUAUAAAAAUUUGUAGCACCAGUAAAUGGUAGGAGUUUAAAUGGGGGUUAAAUAAUUGGUCUUUAUUUUCACUUGUGAGGCAAAUUAUUAUAAUGGAUUUUCUUCUAGAGGAGCCCUGUCGAUGGGAGCCUAGUCAAUAGAUAGGGCCACCCACUCAUCUUCAAAAUGUUUGACCCAGAAUUGUUCCUGUCUAAAGGAAAUGCAGGAACAAAAUGGACCAGAGACUGAAGGAAAGACCAUCCAGUGACCUUCCAAAUUUGGGAUCCAUCCCAUGGACAGGCACCAAACCCUGACACAAUCACUGAUGCCAUGUUGUCCUCACAGACAGGAGCCUAGCAUGGCUGACUUCUGAGAGUCUCUACCAGCAGCUGACUGAGACAGAUGCAGAUAUAUACUUACAUGGGGACUCUAUGGAAGAGUUAGAGGAAGAAUUGAAGGAGCUGAGUGGAAUAGCAAUCUCAUAAGAACAACAACAAUAUCAACUAACCUGUACCCCUGGGAGCUCCCAGAAACUAAGCCAUCAAACAAAGAUCAUACAUGGGCUUGUCAGUGGCCUCUGGUACAUAGAAGAAGACUGCCUUGUCUGGCCUCAGUGAGAGUGGUUGUACCUAAUUCUGUAAAGACUUGAUGCCCCAGAGACGGGGAAUGCUUGAGGUCCUUCUUCUGGAUGUAAUCAUGAUUUAUGAGCUACAAUGGAUCAGUAGCCAAAUCUCUGAAAACAUCUGUAGCAGAGCCAUCUGUUUAUACCUAAAUACCAGAUGCCAUAUAUGUUAAAAUUUAUAUUUGAUCGAAUUUUUUAAUAUGUCCAGAUAGCUCACAGCACUGCAGCCAACAAAAAGCACAAAGUGUGUCACUAAGUAAGAUGAAGUGAAUGCAUUCCACAACACUUCUCAAGUUGAUGCUCUUAAUGCUCUGACAGGAGAAAAUACCAGGAAAAAGAGUGGAGCAGAGACUGAAGAAAAGGUCACUCAGAGACUUGGGAUCCAUCCCAUAUGCUGCCAAUAAACCUAGUUACUAUUGCUGAUGCCAAGACGUGUUUGCUGACAGGAGGAGAUAUUUAUGUCUCCUGAGAGGCUCUACCAGAGACUUACUGAUAUAGAUUGUUUUCCUGCCUGCAAACUGUGAGGCUUGCUGGGUCCCUGAGAAGUUGUCUGUUUGAAGGCUCUAGCUAAGACUUCAAGUGCUAUACUGAAAAGCAUCCCAACAAAACCACAGGCUCAAGGCCAAGCAAAGGCAAUGAAAGGAGGAGCUUCUUGUGGCUGCGAAGGAGGAGCUUAUUGUGGUCGCGAAGGAGGUGUUUCUUGCUGUUGUGAGUGGGGCACAGUCUUCCAGCAUCUCAGGUGGUUUCUACUAGCAAGGGGAGGAAGUCAAGACUUCCCACCUUUGGUUGGAAUGAAGGAAGAAAGAAGGAAAAAUUCCAUUCCUCAGAGGAUGCAGAUGCUCUCUGAAGGAAAGAUCCUGGAG